Chelonoidis abingdonii (Abingdon island giant tortoise) is the source of this 502-nucleotide non-coding RNA. The record is from RefSeq and is a predicted model, not a curated record. Lineage: Eukaryota; Metazoa; Chordata; Testudines; Testudinidae.
UAGCCAAACCUUCUCAUAAGCAAAUCAUUUUCUUUGGUGACCACAGGAAAAUAUGUAAUGCAAUUUGCGUUAAAUAGCAGAAAAUACAGCCACUGUAAUAGCAUUUCCACUGUCCGAUAUUGCAAAGUCAUUUAAUGGUGCACCAGUAAUUUGCUGAGCAUUUAGUACAAAACUGUAAAUUUAUCAAUUUGGAAAAAUAAUUUUGCAAAGAUUUUUGAGGAAAAAACCCUCCUCUAUGCUUAAAUAUAGAAAAUGUUAAUACCAAAGUCAACCCAAUGAUUUGUGUGUGUGUACUCAACGCUAGGUCCCACGGGUUAUCAAUGUGUACUCAAAUCUAUUAUUACCAUUGCUCACCAUGAGAAAAAAGUAAUUAUAUAAAAGAAAGUCUACCCUUAAGUGGGAGCAAAAGGUAAGUGCCUUACUCAGGAAAGAGGAAAAUGCUGAGAUUUCAGUUAGCUUGUUUUCCUUUGAAAGGAAGUUACAAAAACACCAUUACAUAAGC